CCAACUGAGCUACCCAGGCGCCCCUAAGGAAUCAACUUGAAAUACAUGAAACAUUUUUGUAUUUUUGCUGAAACAUGUGCAGAGUUCAAGGUGAGAUCUGUGGCCGUCCUGGAGGUAUGUCACAUGGCUGUCCAGUCAGCUGACAGCCUCCAGAUGCUGCACCUUUGGGACCCAACACAACGUUCACGCCAAAGCCACUCUCUCCAUGCACUGUUCAUCCUCAUGGACCUGGCUAAGGCUUCCUCAGAGCAGAUAUCGGACUGCAGUUUGAGGGUACUCUCACCCGGUUUUUCCUUCCUUCUGGCCUUCCACAGGGUCGCACCCUUAUUUGUUGCUCAAAAGGCUUUUCCAGCUUAUGCCUGCCUCCCUUCCCUUUAUUCCUCAUGGAAGUCCCCCCCUGGUAAAUCUCCUGUACUCCUGAAUCCAUCUUGGCAUCUGCCUCCCAGAGGACAUAAACCAGCAGACCUACAGGAUGAACAGAGGUUACCUAAGCUAAGAAGGAAGACAGAGAAAUUCAGGUAGAGUGGACAGCAUGGUGAGUUCAAGGGACUGGGGCAGAGUGAGUGGAGGGGAAGCAUGGUGUGGCAUGACCUGGAGGCGGGGGGGGGGGGGGGGGGUCGGGGCUUUUCCUUGUAACAAAACCCAUUAAAGGGGUUUAAUCAGAGACGAUGAGCAGAUUUGCAUUUUGAAAGUUUAUUCUGGCUCCUUUGUAGCAAAGGCAACAGUUUGGAAUAGUCUAAAUGAGAGUUAAUGGUAGACCAAACUAAGGUGGUGGGGGGGGGUGGGUGGGCAGGGUGAUGAAGAUGUACAUCACAUUUGAGAAAUAUUUAUGGAAGACUUGGUCAUGAGUUGGAAAUACAGAGAUGAGGGAGAAGGGGUGUAUGUGAUUUUUCAGUUUGGGCUGGCAUGACUAGUUGGGCGGGAGAGCCAUACAUUGAACUUGGGAACUCGUGAAGGGAACUGAGUGUAGAGGGAGGAGUGUGUCCACUGGAUGUGGACACACUGAGUGUGAGAUGCUCGGGCGCUAACGCUCAAGAAGGGAGGCGGGUAGGCAUUUGACAUGGGGACUGGGACCAGUGAGAGACAAGCGUGCAGGUGGAGGUGAUCGCAGCUGAGGCUGUCCAUGCAGAGGCCUGUGAUCUAGGGGCCAGAGUCGGUCUCCGUGAAGGCCACGGAGCGACUAAGACAUCAGUAGUGGCCCCCAGCCCCUCUGCUAGGGGGCUGUGGCAGAGCUGGAGGACGAGUCUCAGAGGAACGGAGGUUUCGUCCUGAUACCUCCCUCGUGUCUUUUCAUAGUUUGACAAAAGCAUGGACGAGUAGAGGUCUGAACACGGCAAGGAGAAACAGCAGGAUCUCCUUCCUCCCGGCACUGAGGUACGCGGAGUGCGGGAAACAUGAACACGCAUGUGCACGUGCACACAUGGGAAGACUUAUUUUAAGAAAUUGUUUCAAUUGUAGGGGCUGCGGGCCUGAAAUUUGUCGGGCAGAGAUCUCAGGCAGGAGUUGAUACAACAGUCUUGAGGCAGAAUUUCUUCUUUGCCCAGGAACCUUAGUUUUGGCUCUUAAGAUCUUUCAGUGGAGUGAAUGAAGCCCACCCGUGUUAAGGAUAAUCUCUUUACUUCAAGUCAACCGAUUGUAGAUGUUCACCACGUCUACCUUGACAGCAACACCUAGAUCGGUGUUUAGUUAAGUAACUGGCGCUACAGCUGAGCCAAGUUGACACAGAAAACUGACCACCGCAAAGACUGGAAACCAUGGGCAGGGUGGGGUCCUGGGACCUUGAGGUUUCCAUGAAAACCAAUGGAAGGAAGUAACAUCCUGCUCCUCGUGAAGACUCAGGGAGCCUGCUGGUUUUGGACUGGCCUUUCCAGGUCUAGAGGAAGUAUUUGUGAACUCAGAGAAAACUGGGCUGAGAGUGAAAAGGAGCUGCAAGAGUGGCCUAUGGCUGUGAACGAACAAGGCUCCCUCUUCUUCCUCAUACCUGCAGACUGGAAGAUUCCUCACACCUGGGACCAGGCUUCCAUCUCUGAACCCCGGCAUCUGAUACAUUUUGUGAUCAUUUAUAAGCACUCAAUAAAUAUUUCUUGAAUAAA
Leopardus geoffroyi (Geoffroy's cat) is the source of this 2093-nucleotide long non-coding RNA. RefSeq lists it as uncharacterized. The transcript is spliced from 2 exons. Lineage: Eukaryota; Metazoa; Chordata; Mammalia; Carnivora; Felidae. The record is from RefSeq and is a predicted model, not a curated record.